This 502-nucleotide ribosomal RNA is filed under the name uncultured bacterium. Its description in RNAcentral is "partial 16S ribosomal RNA". It matches the Rfam family "Bacterial small subunit ribosomal RNA", at positions 29 to 523 of the family's 1533-position model. The record is from RNAcentral.
AUUGAACGCUGGCGGCAUGCCUUACACAUGCAAGUCGAACGGCAGCACGGGUGCUUGCACCUGGUGGCGAGUGGCGAACGGGUGAGUAAUACAUCGGAACGUACCUUAUCGUGGGGGAUAACGCAGCGAAAGCUGUGCUAAUACCGCAUACGCCCUGAGGGGGAAAGCGGGGGAUCGAAAGACCUCGCGCGAUUAGAGCGGCCGAUGCCUGAUUAGCUUGUUGGUGGGGUAAAAGCCCACCAAGGCGACGAUCAGUAGCUGGUCUGAGAGGACGAUCAGCCACACCGGUACUGAGACACGGCCCAGACUCCUACGGGAGGCAGCAGUGGGGAAUUUUGGACAAUGGGGGCAACCCUGAUCCAGCCAUGCCGCGUGCGGGAAGAAGGCCUUCGGGUUGUAAACCGCUUUUGUCAGGGAAGAAACGCUCUGGGCUAAUACCCCGGGGUAAUGACGGUACCUGAAGAAUAAGCACCGGCUAACUACGUGCCAGCCGCCGCCGUAA